UGCUUCAUCUCCUCCUCCGUUGACAAAUUGAAGAAAGUGGUAGAGGAAGGUAAUGCCUACGGAGCUUUGCAGAUGUACAAAUCCUUCAGUGCCAGAUAUGUUACGGGAAGAGGAAAGAUCUGCAGAGAAGAAGAA
Brassica oleracea var. oleracea is the source of this 135-nucleotide long non-coding RNA. RefSeq lists it as uncharacterized. The transcript is spliced from 3 exons. The record is from RefSeq and is a predicted model, not a curated record. Lineage: Eukaryota; Viridiplantae; Streptophyta; Magnoliopsida; Brassicales; Brassicaceae.